This 253-nucleotide ribosomal RNA is filed under the name Terrimicrobium sp. RNAcentral describes it as "partial 16S ribosomal RNA". It matches the Rfam family "Bacterial small subunit ribosomal RNA", at positions 524 to 776 of the family's 1533-position model. Lineage: Bacteria; Pseudomonadati; Verrucomicrobiota; Terrimicrobiia; Terrimicrobiales; Terrimicrobiaceae. RNAcentral also lists the same sequence under 1 other name. The record is from RNAcentral.
UACAGAGGUCUCAAGCGUUGUUCGGAUUCAUUGGGCGUAAAGGGUGCGUAGGUGGUGGCGCAAGUCUGGUGUGAAAUCUCGGAGCUCAACUCCGAAAUUGCACCGGAUACUGCGUGACUCGAGGACUGUAGAGGAGAUCGGAAUUCACGGUGUAGCAGUGAAAUGCGUAGAUAUCGUGAGGAAGACCAGUUGCGAAGGCGGAUCUCUGGGCAGUUCCUGACACUGAGGCACGAAGGCCAGGGGAGCAAACGGG